UCACAUCGAAUAUUAGGAGGCUAAUUGGAGGACUAAAUAUGAGCUAAUUAUAAAAUUAAUUACACAGAUGGAGGCUAAUUCACGAGACGAAUCUAUUAAGCCUAAUUAAUCCAUCAUUAGCACAUGUUUACUGUAGCAUCAUAUUGUCAAAUCAUGAACUAAUUAGGCUUAAUAGAUUCGUCUCGCAAAUUAGUCUCCAUAUGUGCAAUUGGUUUUGUAAUCAGUCUAUAUUUAAUACUCCUAAUUAGUAUCUAAACAUUCGAUGUGAC
RNAcentral lists this long non-coding RNA (269 nucleotides) under Setaria viridis. RNAcentral's name for it is "long non-coding RNA (SVIR_LNC000621)". Lineage: Eukaryota; Viridiplantae; Streptophyta; Magnoliopsida; Poales; Poaceae. The record is from RNAcentral.